AGCCCAAACCGUUAUUGUUUCGGCAUUAACGGGGUAGUAGGACUGCAAGCUUGAUGAAAUAAAUGAAAUGGAACACUUUGGAAAAUGUGAUCACAGAGGGUGAUAAUCCCGUACAUGCAAGUUUAUGAAUCAUAGCAGACUCCUGAGUAAGUCGGGACACGUGUAAUCCUGACCGAAUCCGCCGGGACCAUCCGGCAAGGCUAAAUACUCCUGAGAGACCGAUAGUGAACCAGUACCGUGAGGGAAAGGUGAAAAGCACUUCGAACAGAAGAGUGAAAUAGUCCCUGAACCCAUACGCCUACAAGCUGUCGGAGCCGCUUCGUGCGGUGACGGCGUGCCUUUUGCAUAAUGAGCCUACGAGUUACUCAUCACCAGCGAGGUUAAGUACUUCAGGUACGUAAGCCGAAGCGAAAGCGAGUCUGAAUAGGGCGUCAAGUUGGUGGUGGUAGACGCGAAACCUUAGUGAUCUACCCAUGGGCAGGGUGAAGGUUUGGUAACACAAACUGGAGGCCCGAACCGGUAAACGUUGAAAAGUUUUCGGAUGACCUGUGGGUAGGGGUGAAAGGCCAAUCAAACUGGGAAAUAGCUCGUACUCUCCGAAAUGCAUUUAGGUGCAGCCUCUGUUGUUUUGUUCUAGAGGUAGAGCUACUGAUUGGAUGCGAGGGCUUCACCGCCUAUCAAAUCCGGCCAAACUCCGAAUGCUAGAACAUGAAGACAGGGAGUGAGCCAGCGGGUGCUAAGGUCCGUUGACGAAAGAGGGAGAACUCAGACCAUCAGCUAAGGUCCCCAAUUAUAUGCUAAGUUGGAAUUAAAACGGGGUGGGACUGCUUAGACAGCUAGGAUGUUGGCUUGGAAGCAGCCAUUCAUUUAAAGAGUGCGUAACAGCUCACUAGUCGAGCGGUCCUGCAUGGAUAAUACGCGGGCAUAAGCAUAUAACCGAAGCUAUGGGAUUGUAGAUGAUACAAUCGGUAGGAGAGCAUUCCAUUCAGCAUAGAAGCAGUACCGUGAGGUAUUGUGGAGCGGAUGGAAAAGCAAAUGUAGGCAUAAGUAACGAUAAUGCGGGUGAGAACCCCGCACGCCGAAAGAUCAAGGAUUCCCCGGCAAUGUCAAUCAUCCGGGGGUAAGUCGGAUCCUAAGGGUAAGCCGAGUGGCGAUCCCGAUGGCAAACAGGUUAAUAUUCCUGUACUGAUCAUAACUGCGAUGCAGCGACGCAGAGGUGACACUGCUGCGUACUGACGGAAUAGUACGUUGAAACCCGUAUUCUUUGAUACCGGUAGUGAAGCACGCCGGUAGAGAUGAAAGGUGAUAGUACCGCAAUGCUUCGGUUGCGCGGAUAACGCAGGUAAGCUGACUGCCAAGAAAACCUGCUAAGCUUCAGGUAAUGAUCAUCCGUACUGUAAACGGACACACGUGAUCAGGUAGAAAAUACUAAGGCGCUCGAGAGAUUCAUGGUUAAGGAACUAGGCAAAAUGGUCCUGUAACUUCGGGAUAAAGGACGCUCUUGUGAAAGAGCCGCAGAUAAUAGGCCCAGGCGACUGUUUACCAAAAACACAUGGCUAUGCUAAUUCGCAAGAAGAUGUAUAUGGCCUGACACCUGCCCGGUGCCGGAAGGUUAAGAGGAGAGCUCAGAUGUAAGUCGAAGGUUUGAAUUGAAGCCCCGGUAAACGGCGGCCGUAACUAUAACGGUCCUAAGGUAGCGAAAUUCCUUGUCGGGUAAGUUCCGACCUGCACGAAUGGUGUAACGAUCUGGGUACUGUCUCAACCAUGAGCUCGGUGAAAUUGUAGUUCCGGUGAAGAUGCCGGAUACCCGCAACGGGACGGAAAGACCCCGUGAACCUUUACUGCAGCUUUGCAUUGAUUUUGGGUAACAGAUGUGUAGGAUAGGUCGGAGGCUUUGAUGCUGCGUCGUCAGGCGUAGAGUAGCCGUCGUUGAAAUACGACCCUUUUGUUAUCUGAGGUCUAAUCCCGUUAGGGAGACAUUGCAUGGUGGGUAGUUUGACUGGGGUGGUCGCCUCCAAAAGUGUAACGGAGGCUUCUCAAGGUACCCUCAAGGCGUUUGGUAAUCGUCUGCAGAGUGCAAUGGCAUAAGGGUGCUUGACUGUGAGACCGACACGUCGAUCAGGUUGGAAACAAGAGCAUAGUGAUCCGGUGGUUCCGCAUGGAAGGGCCAUCG
RNAcentral lists this ribosomal RNA (2173 nucleotides) under human gut metagenome. Its description in RNAcentral is "bacterial LSU rRNA". It matches the Rfam family "Bacterial large subunit ribosomal RNA", at positions 266 to 2447 of the family's 2925-position model. The record is from RNAcentral.